Non-coding RNA from Ceratotherium simum simum (southern white rhinoceros), 117 nucleotides. The record is from RefSeq and is a predicted model, not a curated record. Lineage: Eukaryota; Metazoa; Chordata; Mammalia; Perissodactyla; Rhinocerotidae.
CCAUUUAUAAAAUAACAUGCUCAACUGUCAGUGACAAUAAACACUUGGUAAACCUGAAAACAAAGCUUUCAAUCAAUCAAUUCAGAUUCCAACAGAACACAGCCCUGCAGAGAGCUG